CUGCAGGUUUGAUAAGCAUGAUCAGCAUCACAUGCCUGAGAUGUCACACGUCACCACGUAAUUACAGAAUACUUGCACUAUAUAUCAAUGUGAUUCUUGCCUCCCAGAUCACUGCUGGAAUGCUGAAGGAGAAGACAAACAUCUGGAAAUUUAAACUUGUGAGUAGUAGUGAGUUUAAAGGUGGAUUAUAUGUUUCUUACCUGUUCUAUGUUAAAUUGUGUGUUAAUAUUAAUUUUGUAAUAUUGCAUCCUAUUGUAACAAUGCAAUGUUUUGUGAACCCAGGACAUACUUGAAAACGAGAGAAAUCUCAAAGUAUCCUUCCUUGUAAAAUAUUUUAUAAAUAAAUAUAUACAAGGGGCCUUUAUUUAAAUUAGGAUUGUAGAAUGAAUAACUUGCAUGCACGAGUUUCUAAUUACAUUGCAUAAAAUAAUUAUAUAUAUAUUUAGUGAGACUUUUUUUUUAACUCCUUGUUUCUGGUGCUUUUUUUGUGUGAGAAUGCACAAAACAUUGCUCUACUACUAGUUUUAUAUUGGCCAUCGAUCUACCUACCUACCUUGUGCUUCAUAACCCUCCUUAUAAUUCAUCCCAUUACUCCAUAUAAUUCUCCCUAUUAUUCAUCCUAUUACUAAAUAUAACCCAUCAUAUACCUCUUCUUAUUGAUUCAUAUAAACCUCCCUAUAACUCCUCUUAUUGAUUCAUAUAAACCUCCCUAUAACUCCUCCUAUUACUUCAUAUAUCCUGCCCUAUAACUCCUUCUAUUACUCCAUAUAACCCUCUCUAUAACUCCUAUUGCUCCAUAUAACUCUCCCUAUAACUCCUCAUAUUGCCCCAUAUAACCCUCCCUAUAACUCCUCCUAUUGCUCCAUAUAACGCUCCCUAUAACUCCUCAUAUUGCCCCAUAUAACCCUCCCUAUAACUCCUCCUACUGCUCCAUAUAACGCUCCCUAUAACUCCUCAUAUUGCUCCAUAUAACCCUCCCUAUAACUCCUCCUAUUGCUCCAUAUAACCCUCCCUAUAACUCCUCCUAUUGCUCCAUAUAACCCUCCCUAUAACUCCUUCUAUUGCUUCAUAUAACCCUCCCUAUAACUCCUCCUAUUGCUCCAUAUAACCCUCCCUAUAACUCCUCCUAUUGCUCCAUAUAACCCUUCUUAGAACUCCUCCUAUUACUCCAUAUAAACCUCACUAUAACUCCUCCUACUGCUCCAUAUAACCCUCCCUAUAACUCCUCCUAUUGCUUCAUAUAAUCCUCCCUAUAACUCCUCCUAUUACUCCAUAUAAACCUCUCUAUAACUCCUCCUAUUACUCCAUAUAACUCCUCCUAUUGCUCCAUAUAACCCUUCCUAUAACUCCUCCUAUUACUCCAUAUAACCCUCCCUAUAACUCCUCCUAUUGCUCCAUAUAACUCUCCCUACAACGCCUCCUAUUGCUCCAUAUAAUCUCUCUCUAUAACUCCUUCUAUUGCUCCAUAUAACGCUCCCUAUAACUCCUCCUAUUGCUCCAUAUAACCCUCCCUAUAACUCCUCCUAUUGCUCCAUAUAACCCUCCCUAUAACUCCUCCUAUUGCUCCAUAUAACGCUCCCUAUAACGCCUCCCAUUGCUCCAUAUAACCUCUCCCUGUAACUCCUCCUAUUACUCCAUAUAACGCUCCCUAUAACUCCUUCUAUUGCUCCAUAUAUCCCUCCCUAUAACUCCUCCUAUUGCUCCAUAUAACUCUCCCUAUAACUCCUCCUAUUGCUCCAUAUAACUCCUUCUAUUGCUCCAUUUAUAACAGUUCUACCUAUUUAACUCCUUUUAAUGAUUUUGCAAAACCCCUUCUCUAGUACCAAUUCUCUAUCCCUCAUUCUAAAAUCACGACAUUGAAAACAUAACAACUUUAUUUAGUCUUUUCUUUUUGUAGUUUACAAGCGUAUACCCCAUUGUUUUUUAUUGUUUUUAUUGGCUGCCUAACAGUAUCCUUGCUUAUGUUAUACAUUCUGAUAUGUUCAUCAGAUUAAGAGGUUUUUAAGCGGCAGAAUGUUACGGGUGGGAAUUGAGUACUUCCUCUAUACGUUUCACACUUCAUUUUCAAAUUCACUUUUUUGUUUCAGGAUUGACUAACUCAAUGAAGCACGGAAUAAAAUUAACGCCUGACUGUCGGAGAGCCCUGCCGUUUUAAAACAUCAAGCUGAAAAUUCAGUGGGAAUUGUCUGUACGGUGGUUCUUUUAAUAAGACGUGUAGUUGUCCUUGGCCGCAGAUACCAUAGAAAGCAAAUAAAGCACACAAUGUAACACGCUGCUUUCUCCCAGUAAAUAAUUCACCCCUCCUUUCCAGAUUCUCUCCCCAAGGCUACCAGCCACCAUUCAGAAUACAGUCUAUCCUGGAAGUGGCAUUCCCAUUGGUUACUUUGAAAUCUGGCUGUUUUCCUAUUGGCUGGCAGCAAUACCCCAAAUAUCCUGCAAAACACAGACUGCUGUCCUGCUCAGUACGCACACACUGCUGUCAGUAAGAAAUGGUAACAAUAACUGGCAGCUGUACUAGUUACAGUACAAAGAACGUAGUCAUGUGACUGACAGCCCCUCUGUUUCGCUUACUGUGAAAUAAUUAACCAGUUAUCUGCCAGAACACACCGUAGCACAGGAAAGAGGUUAAAAACAAUAAAAAAAAAACAUGAUGG
This is a non-coding RNA of Pelobates cultripes (western spadefoot toad), 2654 nucleotides long. The record is from the annotation of a GenBank genome assembly. Lineage: Eukaryota; Metazoa; Chordata; Amphibia; Anura; Pelobatidae.